AGUGAUUCCGUAGGUGAACCUGCCGAAGGAUCAUUAAUGAAUAACUAUGGUGUUGGUUGUUGCUGGCUUCUAGGAGCAUGUGCACGCCCGCCAUUCUUAUCUCUCCACCUGUGCACUGUAUGUAGGUCUGGAUGACUCUCGCUCUCGAGCGGAUGCAGGGAUUGUCGCUUGCGACUCUCCUUGAAUUUCCAGAUCUAUGUAUUUUACAUACCCCAAUUGAAUGACGAAGAAUGUAGUCAAUGGGCUUUCAAGCCUAUAAAACAAUAUACAACUUUCAGCAACGGAUCUCUUGGCUCUCGCAUCGAUGAAGAACGCAGCGAAAUGCGAUAAGUAAUGUGAAUUGCAGAAUUCAGUGAAUCAUCGAAUCUUUGAACGCACCUUGCGCUCCUUGGUAUUCCGAGGAGCAUGCCUGUUUGAGUGUCAUUAAAUUCUCAACUUCAUCAGUUUUGUUGAAGCUUGGAUAUGGGGGUUGUGCAGAAUGCAUCAGUAGUCUGCUCCCCUUAAAUGAAUUAGCGAGUUCAAACUGAGCUCCAUCUAUUGGUGUGAUAAUUAUCUACGCCGUGGAUUGGACUUAGACUUGCUUCUAAUCGUCCGCAAGGACAAUACUUGACAAUUUGACCUCAAAUCAGGUAGGACUACCCGCUGAACUUAAGCAUAUCAAUAAGCGGAGGAAAUG
Molecule: ribosomal RNA, 676 nt
Filed under: uncultured organism
Description: eukaryotic LSU rRNA
Rfam family: 5.8S ribosomal RNA (bases 270-423)
Source: RNAcentral